RNAcentral lists this ribosomal RNA (253 nucleotides) under uncultured bacterium. Its description in RNAcentral is "partial 16S ribosomal RNA". It matches the Rfam family "Bacterial small subunit ribosomal RNA", at positions 524 to 776 of the family's 1533-position model. The record is from RNAcentral.
UACAGAGGCCUCGAGCGUUGUUCGGAAUUACUGGGCGUAAAGGGAAUGUAGGUGGUGACGUAAGUCAGAUGUGAAAGCCCUGGGCUUAACCCGGGAAGUGCAUUUGAUACUGCGUUGCUUGAGUGCGAGAGAGGAAAGCGGAAUUCCCAGUGUAGGAGUGAAAUCCGUAGAUAUUGGGAGGAAUACCGAUGGCGAAGGCAGCUUUCUGGCUCGCAACUGACACUGAGAUUCGAAAGCGUGGGUAGCAAACAGG